AUUGAACGCUGGCGGCAUGCCUUACACAUGCAAGUCGAACGGUAGAGUAGCAAUACUCGAGAGUGGCGAACGGGUGAGUAAUAUAUCGGAACGUGCCCAGUCGUGGGGGAUAACGUAGAGAAAUUUACGCUAAUACCGCAUACGAUCUAAGGAUGAAAGCGGGGGAUUCGCAAGAACCUCGCGCGAUUGGAGCGGCUGAUAUCAGAUUAGGUUGUUGGUGAGGUAAAAGCUCACCAAGCCGACGAUCUGUAGCUGGUUUGAGAGAACGACCAGCCACACUGGGACUGAGACACGGCCCAGACUCCUACGGGAGGCAGCAGUGGGGAAUUUUUGGGACAAUGGGCGAAAGCCUGAUCCAGCAAUGCCGCGUGCAGGAAG
This 378-nucleotide ribosomal RNA is filed under the name uncultured bacterium. Its description in RNAcentral is "bacterial SSU rRNA". It matches the Rfam family "Bacterial small subunit ribosomal RNA", at positions 30 to 410 of the family's 1533-position model. The record is from RNAcentral.